Molecule: long non-coding RNA, 1105 nt
Filed under: Salmo salar (Atlantic salmon)
Lineage: Eukaryota; Metazoa; Chordata; Actinopteri; Salmoniformes; Salmonidae
Description: lncRNA (ENSSSAG00000111156.1)
Source: RNAcentral
GCGCAACAUUUCCUUUGCGUAAAGUUGGUCAGGCUGCUGAUUGUGGUCUGUGGAAUGCUGUCUCACUCCUCUUCAAUGGCUGCGCGAAGUUGCUGGAUAUUGUCGGGAACUGGAACACGUCGAUCCAGAGCAUCCUGAACAUGCUCAAUGGGUGACAUGUCUGACUAUGCAGGCCAUGGAAGAACUGGGACAUUUUCAGCUUCCAGGAAUUGUGUACAGAUCGUUGCGAAAUGGGGCUGUACAUUACCAUGCUGAAACAUGAGGUGAUGGAGGCGGAUGAAUGGCACGACAAUGGGCCUCAGGAUCACAUCAAGUUUCAUCAGUUGUCCGGGUGGCUGGUCUCAGACGAUCCCAUGGGUGAAGAAGCUGGAUGUGGAGGUCCUGGGCUGGCGUGGUUACACAUGGUCUGCGGUUGUGAGGCCUGUUGGGGAUACUGCCAAAUUCUCUAAGAUGACAUUGGAGGCGGCUUAUGGUAUAGAAAUGAACAUUAAAUUCUCUGGCAACAGCUCUGGUGGACAUUCUUGCAGUCAGCAUGCCAAUUGCGCACUCCCUCAAAAUUUGAGACAUCUGUGGCAUUGUGUUGUGUGACAGAACUGCACAUUUUAGUGUCCCCAGGACAAGGGGCACCUGUGUAAUGAUCAUGCUGUUUAAUCAACUUCUUGAUAUGCCACACCUGUCAGGUGGAUUAAUUAUCUUGGCAAAGGAGAAAUUCUCACUACAGGGAUGUAAACAAAUGUGUGCAUGCACAACAUGCUAGAGAAAUAAGCUUUGUGUGUGUAUGGAAAAAUUCAAGGAUCUUUUAUUUCAGCUCAAGAAACAUGGGACCAACACCUUACAUAUUUUUGUUCGGGAUAGUAUGUGCCUUCUUUGCCUUGUAUCAUAUUCUUAUUAAGGAAUUAGCUCAAAGUAUUUGAAAGGAGCAAUAUGUUGUAGAAUGUAAAGGAGCAAACACAGGAAUACAAAGAAGUUGAGAAGAUUUGGACAAGCUGGCUUCUGUUUACAGUUCUACAGUGGACAUUGAAGAUAAGCAUCGUAUUGCGGUUCAGAACAAUAGCCCUGUCCCACCCUUCAUUAACUCUCCAGUUACAUAUUAAAUCUCAAACAG